UUCCGGUAGGGGGGCCUGCGGAAGGAUCAUUACCGAGUGAGGGCCCUCUGGGUCCAACCUCCCCACCCGUGUUUAUCGUACCUUGUUGCUUCGGCGGGCCCGCCUCACGGCCGCCGGGGGGCAUCCGCCCCCGGGCCCGCGCCCGCCGAAGACACACAAACGAACUCUUGUCUGAAGAUUGCAGUCUGAGUACUUGACUAAAUCAGUUAAAACUUUCAACAACGGAUCUCUUGGUUCCGGCAUCGAUGAAGAACGCAGCGAAAUGCGAUAAGUAAUGUGAAUUGCAGAAUUCAGUGAAUCAUCGAGUCUUUGAACGCACAUUGCGCCCCCUGGUAUUCCGGGGGGCAUGCCUGUCCGAGCGUCAUUGCUGCCCUCAAGCACGGCUUGUGUGUUGGGCUCUCGCCCCCCGCUUCCGGGGGGCGGGCCCGAAAGGCAGCGGCGGCACCGCGUCCGGUCCUCGAGCGUAUGGGGCUUCGUCACCCGCUCUGUAGGCCCGGCCGGCGCCCGCCGGCGAACACCAUCAAUCUUAACCAGGUUGACCUCGGAUCAGGUAGGGAUACCCGCAUGAACUUAAGCAUAUCAAUAAGCCGGAAGGAAA
This 598-nucleotide ribosomal RNA is filed under the name Penicillium sp. YY26. RNAcentral's name for it is "eukaryotic LSU rRNA". The stretch from base 211 to 364 matches the Rfam family "5.8S ribosomal RNA". The record is from RNAcentral. Lineage: Eukaryota; Fungi; Ascomycota; Eurotiomycetes; Eurotiales; Aspergillaceae.